GUCGGUUUAGCUUAGUGGUAGAGUGUCAGUCUUGUAAAUUGAAGGUCGGCGGUUCGACCUCGUCAUCCAGCU
RNAcentral lists this transfer RNA (72 nucleotides) under Perkinsus olseni. It matches the Rfam family "tRNA". Rfam says of the family: Transfer RNA (tRNA) molecules are approximately 80 nucleotides in length. Their secondary structure includes four short double-helical elements and three loops (D, anti-codon, and T loops). Further hydrogen bonds mediate the characteristic L-shaped molecular structure. tRNAs have two regions of fundamental functional importance: the anti-codon, which is responsible for specific mRNA codon recognition, and the 3' end, to which the tRNAs corresponding amino acid is attached (by aminoacyl-tRNA synthetases). tRNAs cope with the degeneracy of the genetic code in two manners: having more than one tRNA (with a specific anti-codon) for a particular amino acid; and 'wobble' base-pairing, i.e. permitting non-standard base-pairing at the 3rd anti-codon position. The record is from Rfam by way of RNAcentral. Lineage: Eukaryota; Perkinsozoa; Perkinsida; Perkinsidae.